GAGUCUUACAUAAAUGGGUGGUCAUCCAAUACUUUUUUUAUUCCCAACAUAGACACCCUUCUAACAUUUGUCUGUUUAUCCUUGACAGUAAUGUAACCGCCCAGAGCAUGCAUCUGUAUCAAACAAUAGCCAAGAUAAAAGAUAGAUGAAGCUGCACCAGAUAGUCUUAAUUUUCAUCUGCAGCUUGUAAUCUUCAUCUUUAAUUGUAGACAAAGAAAUCUAUCCACUGAUGAUGUCGCCAAACAUUUAAAAAAAAAAUUCAUAAACUGCUCUUGGAUUUGCUUUGCAGACACAGUGGGAAUGGAUUUAGAACAUUCUAAUUUUUUUUAUUUUACACGAGCCUUGUGAUGCAAAACUGUGCGCACAGUUUACAAAUCUGUGCAUCCCAGUGUAUCAUGGAGGGGAUUUCUAAACAGCUUCUUUUUCUUACUCGAGCCUUGAGGGGCUUUGAAAAAGGGAGAAAGGAAAACAGCCUUUUUUGUGAAAUAAAAUUGAUUUUUACAAGAUAAAAAACUAGUUUACCCUGGUUUCUGAAAUAGAUGCAUUUAAGACACAGUAAGAUCUUUCUCUGCUUCCAUGAGCAACAAUAUCAAUAUUUCUCAAAAAUGAAAGCUUUGGAUGUGCAACGUGUUUUAACUCUCUGUAUAGCGAGGUAGCUCUUUGAUGAACAAGUUCACACAGUCUUUGGCAGAAUUGAUUUAUUUGUAAUUGAAAGUUCAGGAUCAACAUGAUUCAGGUCUAAAAUGUCUGAAGUUCUGGUUUUAGAAUAAGGGAGUGCAGCUGUUGCAUCAUGUUACUUUUCUUCCAGCCUCCACCUCCUCCAGGCAGCUGAAGGAAACCAGCGAAGAAAAGAGCCCCUGCAAUUAAGUCUGAAUUUACCUCUGAGCAGCCCACUCUGCAUGUUGGAACACUGACCCUCCACGCUUCUCAUCCUCCAACACGGCUGAGUGGGUGGGAUGCAUCCCAGUUUAUUCUAAGAGUUCCUUCCACCACCCAGCUCAUCUCGGAGGAUACACAGCUCGCAUGAAUCUGUGGAUUGUUUGGAGGACUCAGACACGGUCAGGGCAAACAUCUCUGCAAAAGUCAGAUUGUCAACUACAUAGAGGAUCAUCUCGCUGACUCUGAUGGAACUUCGCUCAUUUCAAGUAUUAAAAUUUGACUCUGCCUCGCCGUCACAUCGGACUCAAGGAACUCAGAGGACAACACGUCAACCUAAGAUGUAUUUUUGGGCCUUUUUGCCUUUAUUGGAAAGGACAGCUGAAGAGAGAGAUGGAAGUGUUGGAAGGAGAGAGGAGGGGAUGACAUGCAGCAAAGGGCCGAGGUCGGAUUUGAACCCGCAGCCGCUGCGACGAGGACUACUGCCUCUGUACA
Long non-coding RNA from Labrus mixtus (cuckoo wrasse), 1371 nucleotides. RefSeq lists it as uncharacterized. Lineage: Eukaryota; Metazoa; Chordata; Actinopteri; Labriformes; Labridae. The transcript is spliced from 4 exons. The record is from RefSeq and is a predicted model, not a curated record.